Molecule: ribosomal RNA, 1009 nt
Filed under: Trichuris trichiura (human whipworm)
Lineage: Eukaryota; Metazoa; Nematoda; Enoplea; Trichinellida; Trichuridae
Description: large subunit ribosomal RNA
Source: RNAcentral
AUAAACUAUAAAUGUCAAUUUUAUUCCUUUUGCAUAAGGAUUAAUUAACAAUAAGAAAGUUUUCUACUAAAGAAAGCUCCCCAACUAAAAUAACAAAAUCUAUAUGUUAAAUGGAUCUCAAAUAUAAUUUUAAGUAAUAUGCAAUUACGGUAGCUGAUAACUUUUUAAUUUUAGUGUUAAGGACAAUCUUAUCCAAGUUUAUAAUAAUUAAUAAUUGAGUUUUAGGAUUAGAAGUAACCAAACCACUAAUUUGUAACAAAACACUACUAUGACACAUAACUACUAUUACUUCAGGUUUAAAUUUGAAUAAACAUAAACUCAAAAGAAAAAUAAUUAUGUGAGUAAGACUAAUUAAAUAAAAUUCUAAUUAAAAUUCGGCACAUAGUAUACUACUGUUUAAUAAAAACAUUGCAAUAUUGAUAUAUUGUAAAUUUCCUGCCCAAUGAUAAAUUAAAUGGCCGCAGUAAUCUGACUGUGCAAAGGUAGCGUAAUCAUUUGUUUAAUAAUUUUAAACUAGAAUGAAAGGAACAAAGUAUACUAACUGUUAAUUAAAAUUUAACAUAAAUCUUUGGCUGAGUGCAAAAACUUAGAAUAAAAAUAUAAACGAGAAGACCCUGGGAAUUUUAAUAUUUUUAUUGGGAUAAUAUAAAACCAUACUUAGCUAAGCAACAAAUAACAUUAAUAAAAAGAAAUUACCCCAGGGAUAACAGCACAAUAGUCAUUAAGAGACCUAAUCUCAGUGAUUGAUUAUGACCUCGAUGUUGAAUCAUUUGUACAUAUAGUUUGCAGAAGAAUUUUAUUCUCGUCUGUUCGACGAUAGACAUUACGUGAUUUGAGUUUAAACCGUUGUAAAACAGGUUGGAUUCUCUUUUAUUUUUUUAUAUUUGAUCUAAACUUAGUACGAAAGGAUCAGUAUAGACAAUUGUACCAAUUGAUGACAAAAUUACUUCGUGUGCUCGUCUACACUCUGACCAUUUCAAUGGUGUUUAUUUUAUUACGCGAACACUUG